This is a non-coding RNA of Daphnia pulex (common water flea), 120 nucleotides long. Lineage: Eukaryota; Metazoa; Arthropoda; Branchiopoda; Diplostraca; Daphniidae. The record is from Rfam.
GUCAGGAUGGCCGAGCAGUCUAAGGCGCCAGACUCAAGGACAUAUUCCUUGAUUCAAUAUAGAGAAGUUGCAGUGUUCUGGUCUUUAAUGAAGGCGUGGGUUCAAAUCCCACUCCUGACA